RNAcentral lists this ribosomal RNA (252 nucleotides) under uncultured bacterium. Its description in RNAcentral is "partial 16S ribosomal RNA". It matches the Rfam family "Bacterial small subunit ribosomal RNA", at positions 524 to 776 of the family's 1533-position model. The record is from RNAcentral.
GACAGAGGUGCCGAGCGUUAGGCGGAAUCACUGGGCUUAAAGCGUGUGUAGGCGGAUUGGUAAGUACCUUGUGAAAUCCCACGGCUUAACCGUGGAACUGCUUGGUAUACUGCUUAUCUUGGGCCACUUAGGGGCUAGCGGAACAAACGGUGGAGCGGUGAAAUGCGUAGAUAUCGUUUGGAACGCCAAUGGUGAAAACAGCUAGCUGGGAGUGUGCCGACGCUGAGACACGAAGCCAGGGGAGCGAACGGG